RNAcentral lists this ribosomal RNA (280 nucleotides) under uncultured bacterium. Its description in RNAcentral is "partial 16S ribosomal RNA". It matches the Rfam family "Bacterial small subunit ribosomal RNA", at positions 30 to 310 of the family's 1533-position model. The record is from RNAcentral.
AUUGAACGCUCGCGGGAUGCCUUACACAUGCAAGUCGAACGGCAGCACGGACUUCGGUCUGGUGGCGAGUGGCGAACGGGUGAGUAAUGUAUCGGAACGUGCCCAGUAGCGGGGGAUAACUACGCGAAAGCGUAGCUAAUACCGCAUACGCCCUACGGGGGAAAGCAGGGGAUCUUCGGACCUUGCACUAUUGGAGCGGCCGAUAUCGGAUUAGCUAGUUGGUGGGGUAACGGCCUACCAAGGCGACGAUCCGUAGCUGGUUUGAGAGGACGACCAGCCA